This 510-nucleotide ribosomal RNA is filed under the name uncultured bacterium. Its description in RNAcentral is "partial 16S ribosomal RNA". It matches the Rfam family "Bacterial small subunit ribosomal RNA", at positions 28 to 507 of the family's 1533-position model. The record is from RNAcentral.
GACGAACGCUGGCGGCGUGCUUAACACAUGCAAGUCGAACGAAGAGCGAUGGAAGCUUGCUUCUAUCAAUCUUAGUGGCGAACGGGUGAGUAACGCGUAAUCAACCUGCCCUUCAGAGGGGGACAACAGUUGGAAACGACUGCUAAUACCGCAUACGAUCUAAUCUCGGCAUCGAGGAUGGAUGAAAGGUGGCCUCUACAUGUAAGCUAUCACUGAAGGAGGGGAUUGCGUCUGAUUAGCUAGUUGGAGGGGUAACGGCCCACCAAGGCGAUGAUCAGUAGCCGGUCUGAGAGGAUGAACGGCCACAUUGGGACUGAGACACGGCCCAGACUCCUACGGGAGGCAGCAGUGGGGAAUCUUCCGCAAUGGACGAAAGUCUGACGGAGCAACGCCGCGUGAGUGAUGACGGCCUUCGGGUUGUAAAGCUCUGUUAAUCGGGACGAAAGGCCUUCUUGCGAAUAGUGAGAAGGAUUGACGGUACCGGAAUAGAAAGCCACGGCUGACUACGUG